CCCAAGUUUUUUGAAAAUAGUCCGAACCAGUACCCGUACCAGCACCCGUACCGGCACCUAUACCUAUGUGACAUAGACCUCAACUAUAAGCACAAAGGAUUGACCCAACCCUUCACCAAAAAAUAAGGACAAACAUAUCCUACAGUUAGUGCAUAUACAUUAUCAAGUCAGCAAAAUAAUCAUGAGGAUCACUAGCAUGUUCCAUAAUCAAACGACCUAUCUCCAUAGUUGUAGCCCCCUGCUCUACAAAAAUACGCAUGUGAGAAUGAUGAAGACACCCAAUCCAGUUAGAAUGUAGUCUUCUUCCUUCUAGUUGCUGUCUAGUUUUCCUUACUCAAUCUUUGAUGGGGGAGACAAUAAUAUAGUCACCACCAUAAUCCCUAUGAAAGCUGAGAAUGCGAUCCAAGACAGCCAUUUCUCCUUCGUGCAUCCUACCCAGUAUUGUACGUAUCGUACGAUACGACCCCGUAUCGUUUUUAAAUAACGGUACGAUACACCCCCCAUAUCGUAAAUAAGGGUGUAUCGUUCCUGUAUUGCACGUAUCGUGCGAUAUAGGUCCCGUAUCGUACGAUAGGGGGCGAUACAGCCUGUAUCGUACGAUACGGGCUGAUUUCGCAAAAGGGGGCUCGAGACCUACUUAUUCGGCUUCCUUUUGAAAAAAAGCCUCCGUUCAUUUUUCAAGCUCGGAUACUGCCGUCAUGGAGGGCGAUCGUCCAUUUUCACCAUCAAAAAAGUUGAUUUUAAUCGUGAAAUCGAAGAUUAAGGGGUCGAUUUGUGCGUGGGUGGUUGAUUUUCGUUGGGAGGAAAGGGGUUUUCUUCAUUUCUUCUUCGUAAGGUAUAAAAUCUCAUGCUUUUACCAUGUAUUCAUAAUUUUUUACCGUAUAAUCGUAGAUUGAUAAAUUUUGAGUGUUUUUCAUUAAGUUUACCAUAGGAUUUCGUUUUUUUUUUUUUUUUUGAAGUUAUGGAUCCCACAUGGCAAUGGUGCGAAAGGGUGAAGGAGAAUAACCGCUUGAAACUCAAAUGUAGCUUCUGUGGGAAUAUAUUUUCAGGAGGGAUUAGUAGAAUGAAACACCAUUUGGCAGGGACCUCCAAAGAUGCGUCUCCUUGUGUUAGAGGACCAAACAAACCUUUGCCUCCAUAUGUGCGUCAGCAAUGUUUAGAUAUGCUUCAUGCUUUACAUCAAAAGAGGAUACAGAAAGAAAUUGAAGAGGCAGAUGUAGGCUAUAAUGAGCCUUUGGAAGAUGAAGAAGAAGAGGAAGAAGCUUAUGAAUGAAGAUGAUACCAUUCUAAGAACAGAUUUGGAGACCUCAAGAGGUAGAGAUCGCAGAGGAAAAGGGAUCAUGUAUGAAGGAGGUCGAUCUGGCGUAACGGGAAGGAAGAGAAGAGGCACAACAGAUAGGGCCAGGCGUGGUAUGCGACCACCUAGUGGUAGAGUUCGUACUGAUAGGUCUAGUGUUGGCUCUAUUAUGAGUUUUUUCCGUUCAUAUACUAGCCCAGGUGGUCAGCCGCAGAUUACUGCUAUGACAUCUAAAGAUAUGCUAUAUCAAGCACAAAAGAUGGUAGGAAAAUGGUUUUAUGAUGCAUGUAUUCCAUUUAAUGCAGCUAAUUCUUUUCAAUUCCAAGUCAUGGCAGAUGCAAUUGCUUCUAUAGGCCCCAGAUUCAAAAUGCCAUCAUAUCAUCAGUUGAGGGGUAAAAUUCUUCAAGAUACAGUGAAAGAAGUGUCUGAACAUUGCGAUAAAUUGAAAUUAUCUUGGAAUGAAACAGGUUGCUCCAUUAUGUCAGAUGGAUGGACUGAUACAAAUCAUACAAGGUCAAGAACACUUGUAAAUUUUCUUGUUUAUUGCCUUAAAUGUACAAUCUUCUUGAAAUCUCUUGAUUUGUCUGAUGUUCCUAAAACUGCUGAGAUUUUGUUCAAUGUUUUUGAUAAUAUCGUACAAGAAGUUGGAUCUGCAAACAUUGUACAGUUUAUUAUAGAUAAUGCUGCAAAUUAUAGAGCUGCAGGAGAUUUGUUAUUUCAAAAGUAUGGAACAUUCUUUUGGAGUCCAUGUGCCACUCAUUGUGUUAAUCUUAUGCUUCAAGAUCUUAAUGAGAUGCAUGAUAUGAAAUCAGCCAUUGACCAAUGUCAAGAGGUAACAAAAUUUAUCUAUAAUCAUGCAUAUGUAUUGAGUUUGAUGAGAAAGUUUACAAAAGGAGUUGAAUUGAUACGACCUGCACAAACUAGAUUUGCCACAAAUGUAUUGACUGUGUAGAGUGUGGUGAAACAAAGAACUCCUUUGAGGCAGAUGUUCGCUAGUGAAGAAUGAGCUGCAUAUCCACAUGUUCAUAAAAGAAAUGCUUCUUUAGUUGUGAAUAUCAUAUGUAAUAACGAAUUUUGGGAAUCAUGUGUGAAGCUAUUGAAAGUUUGUGUUCCAUUAGUGAAAAUCCUCAGGUUAGCUGAUAGCGAGGAUAGGCCUUCCAUAGGGUACUUAUAUGAGGUAAUAGAUAAAGCAAAAGAGGCAAUUCGAGACAACUUAAAAGGAUAGAAAAAGUUAUAUAUGCCCAUAUGGAAGAUGAUAGAUAAAAGGUGGACUGGACAGCUUCAUUAACCUCUUCAUGCAGCAGCUUACUAUCUAAAUCAUGCAAUUAGAUUUUUUCCUACAUUUAAGAAGGACAGAGAAGUCUUAAGUGGUUUGUUUGAUUGUGUUAACGUGUUAGUGGCAGAUUCUAGAGAACAAAAUGUCGUCAGCAAUGAGUUAGAUCUAUAUGAUACUUGUUAUCGGGGCAUGGGACAACCAUGCGUCCAGGUAAAUACAUAGAAAUGUUUAAUUUACUUUGCAUUUGUUACAUUUGAUUCUUUUAGAACUUUCACAUUGAUUUGUUAUAACGUUAUAUUUUUGUUUAGAUUUGUGGUGGAAUAGGUAUGAGUUUGAUUGUACAAACCUAGCACGUUUUGCAAUCAAAGUCCUCAGCCAGACAUGCAGUGCUAGUGGAUGCAAAGGAACUGGAGUGUGUUCCAACAUAUCCAUAGCAAAAAAAGGAAUGAGCUCGAACAUAAAAGGUUGAAUGACCUUGUCUUUGUUCGAUAUAAUAUGAGGUUGAAACAAAGAGAAUUACAAAAAACAUAAGCAAGGAAGCACACAUUUUAGUUCGAUCCUAUCAGCUUAGAAAACUUUGACGAUCUGGAGCCAUGGAUUGAGGAAGAACCAGCUACAAUAUUUGAUGAUGAAGAUAUUGAAUGCCUCAACCUUGAAGCUGAAGCAACAGAAGGCUUUGUUGAUGAAGGAGAGUCUGCUAGUGCUACUGCUGGUGCUGAAUAUGUUGGUGAGGAUCUUCCAAUUCUUGACGAUGAAGAUGAAGAAGAAGAUGAUGAAGAUUAUGAAUGAUGAAUCAUUAUAUGUAUCGAACCACUUAAGAGUUAUCUAUGGUUGUUGAACACUUGAAUGUUGUAUGACUUUAUCACUUUAUGACUUAUGGUUUGUUGAUUGAAAUUGAAUGAUAUUGUUAUGAAUUUUGAUGUCUAUGAAGUAUGAAUGAUGAACCGUGAACGCGUAAGUUUAUAGCAUUUAGCAAUAAUAAGUUUAUCAUUAUCUAAAACAUGUUUUCUAUGAAGAAUUUAUUAUUUUUAAUUUUUUCUGAUUUUUUUAUGAAUUUUUCAAUUUUUUUAUUUUUUCUGAUUUAUUAUUAUUAUUUUAAAAAAAUUUACGAUACGGUUACGAUACGGCGUAUCUUAAAGCCCGACCGAUACGCCUUACGAUACGCGUUUUACAACAUUGAUCCUACCACGUGCGUUGAUAAUGGCCACACAGCCCAUUUGGCCAUUUUCCACAUAGCUUAAACCAGCAACCGUGCCUAGUAAAGACACUAACAAUGUUGCCUCUCUAUUAGAUCCAAUGGUGUGCACAGUAUGGAGACCAGUCUCCAUCCAAAUUCUCAGCUUAAUAUCAUCCUCAGUAGUCCACUUGAUGGAGGAGAAGCUGUCUAUGCAACUCUCCUCCAAACAUCUCUCUUGAAUCUACCAACCUGUAGUUGAAGACUGUCAUGGAGACAUCUAUUACGAAGACACCACAAAUUCCAACAAACACUAGUGACAUCUUUUACAAUCGAUCGACAUUAGCGGAAAGAGAGAAGCUCUGCGCACGGAGGUCGAGCGGAGAAGGGGUCACAGAUAGUAGCCCCCGGCAUUUGCCAGGGGGAUGGAGAUGAGAGGGGUAGAGGAUGUGGAAGUCAAGGGUGAAGCAAGGUUGAGGUCGAGUGGAGAAAGAAAUGCACGAAGGUCGUGUGGAAAAGGGGGGAAUCAGAUGGAAACCCUUGUCGAUUGCCAGAGGAAUGGAGAUGAAUGGGCAGAUGGACUUGGAUGAUAGAGUCGAGUUCCCUGUGUUGGGGAAAUCUGCUGAUAGUCACACUAGUGACAUUCUCUGCUCGACCUCCGUGCAUGUUCAUUUUAUCAUGCACAACUUGCUCUUGGGAAACCAAAAUUGAUGACUAGUCAAACCCUUUGUAAGCAAAUCAACAACUUGAUUAUCGCUCUAAAUGUAACAUGGCUCAAUCUCCUUGUCCUCAACCUUUUGACGAAUGAAGUGUUGAUCGAUCUCAAUGUGCUUCGUCCUACUAUGAAAAAUGAGAUUAAAACCUAUGUUGAUGGCACUUUGAUUGUCACACAAUAGGGAUGAUCAAAUAAUAGGCUCUCCUAAUUCGCUCAAUAAAUUUUUCAUCCAUGUAGCUUUCGCGGUCUCUUCUGCCAUAGACUUAUAUUCAGCUUAUGUACUAGAUUGGGCUAUGACAUUUUCUUUUUGACUACUCUAAGUAACGAGAUUUCUUCCAAUAAAAAUACAAUAGCCUGAAACUGAUCUCCUCUCAUCUGGAUCUCCUGCCCAAGUUUGCAUUUGUGUAUGUAAUUAGCUCAUGCCUUUUACAAUAAGAAUCACUCUUGCAAUAGACAAGGCCAUCUCCAAUUGUGCCUUUCAGAUUCCUUAAGAUUUGUUUAAUAACAUCGAUAUGACUGUUUUAAGGAGCAUGCAUAAAUUAUGAUACUUGAUCAUAGAAUAUACAAUAUCUGGCCGAGUGAAGGUAUGAUAUUGUUACAUGUCAACAAUGUUGCUAUAGCUUGUAGGAUCAUGAUAUAGAUUCAUUUCCUUCAAGCUCAACUUUUGAUUUAAUACACUAGGAGUACUAACAAGUCUAGAAUCUGUCAUGCCUGUCUUGCUCAAAAGAUCCAGAGUUAUUUCUGUUGUGUCAAUGUCAAGGUAUCUUGUUGUCUAUCAACCUCCACACCAAGAAAAUAUCUUAACUUUCCUAAAUCUUUCAUUUGAAACUCUUCAUCAAAAUAUUCUUUACUUCACAAAUAUGGCUGUCACAAUUUCUAGUGAUAACAAUAUCAUCAACAUCAACAUAUAUGAGAUACCAAGUAGAGAUGUUCUUGCUGUGAUAAAUAAAGAGAGAAUGGUCAAGAGUACUUUUAUGGAAACCACAGAAAUUUGUUGGAAAAAACUAUCAAACCAUGACCGAGAAGCUUGCUUUAAACCAUAAAGGGACUUGCGAAGCUGACAUACCCAAUUUGCAGCAUCUUUCUCUACAUACCCUGACAGUUAUUCCAUGUAUACCUCUUCUUUCAAGUCUCCAUGCAAGAAUACAUCCAGUUUGCUAAGCUUCCAACCAUUAUCAACUGCCAAAGAGAUGACGAUGCAAAUUGUGCCCAUUUUCACCACGGAUUGAAGGUCUCAUCAUAGUCUUGUCCAAACUGUUGUGUAAAUCAUCUAGCUACCAACCUCGCUUUAUACUUAUCAAUGCUUUCAUAUGGUUUGUGUUUGACUUUAUAAACCUACUUGGAGCCAACUACAUUCUUCCCUGAGGCCUUGGAACAAUUUCUCAAGUCUUGCAUUCAUAGGGUGCCUCCAUCUCUUCAUUUAAUAGGUUCUACCCAUUGACGAGUUUUGGAGGCUUGAUUGUAAGAAAUAGCCAAAUAGGUUCUUCAUGUUUAGUAGUUUAAGCCAUGAAUAAUUGAAAGUCCAGAGAAAAUUUUUUAUAACUAACCCAGCAAUCAAUGGGAUGACGAAUGUAUUCUAGUCUUCUUAUAGACUCUCUGGUUCCUUCAUGACUUGUGUCCCGAUCUCUUUUAUAAUUGACAAAACCAGAAAACCGCUAAGGAGCAGCUUGUUCCACGUUAUAACCAUCAUUUGGCUCGGGUAAAUCUACAUUAUAAUCAUCACUGGAUUGAACCAUUUCUAACUGUGCAUUUACAAGAGGACAAGACAAGAGAAUGUGCAUGACUGACUUUCUCUCCACAAGAGUUCUGUCUUCAACCACGGGUUGUAGAUUUCCUUCUGCAGCGAGAUUGAAUCAAUGGGCUCACAUUUCUUAUCAAACUCAUACUCAUCAAAUACCACAUUUCGUGAAGUUCGUAUUCUCUUGCUGCUGGGAUCAUAACAUCUAUAUCCCUUAUAAUCAUCGGCAUAUCUGACAAACUUGCACUUCAAAGCUUUAUCCUAAAACUUAUUUCUCAAAGAAGAAUAUAUGUGAACAUAACAAACAUAACCCAACACAUGAAGGGUCAUUAUAUGCAGGAUGUUGACCAUAAAGAACAUAAUAAGGAGACUUAUUUUCCAAACUACUCAUGGGCAGUUGAUUUAUGAUGUGGACAGCAGUAUGAAAAGCCUCUGUCCAAAGGCUGGUUGGCACAUUGACGUCAUGCAUCAUGCUCAAAGUUGUUUGUAUAAUAUGUCAGCAUUUUCAUUCGGCUAUCCCAUUUUGCUGAGGAGUAUGGGGGCAAGAUAUUUGUCUAGUUAUCCCAUUAUUUCGAAGAUAUUCAGUAAAAUCUUGGGAGAGAUGUUCUUCUCCACCAUCAUACUGAAAAUGCACAAUAUUACAUGAGUAUUUGUUUCAAAUUUGGGUCUGAAAGUCUUGGAAAAGUUUGAAGACUUCAGAUAUAUGCUUCAUACAAUGUAUCCAAGUAUAACAUGAGAAGGAAUCUACAAAAAUAAUAUGGUAAUGGCUGCCAGACAAUGAAGGAAUUGGGGUAGGUCCCCAUACACUAGAAUGAAUACUCUCAAAAGGUUUAGAAGCACCCUUAUUCAAAAUAUGAAAUAGAAGAACAUAACUCUUACAAAGUUGUCAACUUGAACACUUGUUGACUUUUGAGACAGACUCUAAACUAGACCUUGGAAUAAGAUCAUCUACAAUAAGUUUAUCAAUAAAAUUUUGACUACUAUGACCUAAAUCGGGCUUAUUACAUUGAAACAAAUUCAAGACAUCUGGACUCUGAACUUGCAGUUGAGAAGAUAAAUAAGACUAGAGAAGGAAUUGUUGAGCCAAUCGAAGAAGUGACUAUGGCCUAGGAUACAGGAGCUUCCUUGAAAACGUACAUAUUUCCUUAUCUCUCUCCCUUAGUGAACGUCUUUUCGUUUGAAGGUCCUUGACAUACACAGAAGAAGGAGUGAAUUCAAUAGAAGAAUAUGUAUCGUCAACAAGUUUAGAUACAAGAACAAUGUUUUUCUUUAUAUUUGGGAAAAGUAGAACAUUGGACAAGGAUAACAAAGAAUUUGGCAGAGGAAUUUGUGCAUUUCCAGUAUGAGCAAUGGAAUGAUAUUCUCCUGUGACAAUAGAUCCUCUUUAAGGGAAUAAAUUAGAUAAUUUACUUGCAUCUCUAGUGAUGUGUGUGGCAACCCCAAAGCCUAUGUACCAUUGUCCUUGAUCAUUUUGUUUGAAAUGCAUCCUUGAAAAGGCUGUCAUAAGUAUUGCUGCACAUCAUUUGACACGGAUUUAGAAGGCUACCCUUGUGUUGUCUGCAAUCCUCCCUACUUGUUCUCUUGUUUAUGUCUUUUUCUUAUUUUGUGGAUUGUACCAACAAUCUGCCUUACCAUGACCUUUCUUGUUGCAUAGGAAACAAGUGGAAGUGAUUCUCGGUCCUUGGAGGGAUAUCAGGAGUUGGUAAAAUUCCUCUACCACCCUGAUCAAAAUGACCAUGCCCUCGUCCUCCUUGAUAUAUAUAAUCAAGGCAUUAAUAGAUUCAAACUCAAAUAAUGGGGAAG
Molecule: RNA transcript, 8003 nt
Organism: Nymphaea colorata (pocket water lily)
Lineage: Eukaryota; Viridiplantae; Streptophyta; Magnoliopsida; Nymphaeales; Nymphaeaceae
Gene name: B3 domain-containing protein Os05g0481400-like
Exons: 3
Source: RefSeq, a predicted model, not a curated record